This 469-nucleotide ribosomal RNA is filed under the name Hydroides sanctaecrucis. RNAcentral's name for it is "SSU rRNA". It matches the Rfam family "Eukaryotic small subunit ribosomal RNA", at positions 111 to 559 of the family's 1831-position model. Lineage: Eukaryota; Metazoa; Annelida; Polychaeta; Sabellida; Serpulidae. The record is from RNAcentral.
UGUGAUUUCUUAGAUCGUACGGUUCCUUCGGGGACUGUUGGAUAACUGUGGUAAUUCUAGAGCUAAUACAUGCAAUCAAGCUCAGACCUUCGGGGACGGGCGCUCAUAUUAGACCAAGGCCAACCUGUGGGGCAACCCGCAGACGUCUGUGGUGACUCUGGAUAUCCAUCAGUUGAUCGCACGACCUUUGCGUCGGCGACGUAUCUUUCAAGCGUAUGCCCUAUCAUCUGUCGACGUUAGGUUAACAGCCUAUCGUGGAAGUAACGGGAAGCGGGAAAUCAGGCUUCGAUUCCGGAGAGAGCGCAUGAUAAAUGGCGACCACAUCCAAGGAAGGCAGCAGGCGCGCAAAUUACCCAAUGCCGACUCGGCGAGGUAGUGACGAAAAAUAACAAUACGGGACUCUUUUGAGGUCCCGUAAUUAGAAUGAGCACAAUCUAAAUCCUUUAGCGAGGAUCUAUUGGAGGUCAAG